Long non-coding RNA from Protopterus annectens (West African lungfish), 209 nucleotides. RefSeq lists it as uncharacterized. NCBI's taxonomy places the organism in Eukaryota, Metazoa, Chordata, Ceratodontiformes, Protopteridae. The transcript is spliced from 4 exons. The record is from RefSeq and is a predicted model, not a curated record.
CUGGAAAUCCUGUCUCAGACAGAUUGGGGGAGGUAACAAAAACAAUAAUAAAGUACUGAAUGUUGAUGGUGUUAAAGUGAAGCUACAGAUAUGGGACACAGCAGGGCAGGAGCGAUUUCGCAGCGUUACCCAUGCCUACUACCGAGAUGCUCAUGCACUGUUACUACUCUAUGAUGUUACAAACAAGACAUCCUUUGACAACAUUCAGG